RNAcentral lists this ribosomal RNA (974 nucleotides) under human gut metagenome. Its description in RNAcentral is "bacterial LSU rRNA". It matches the Rfam family "Bacterial large subunit ribosomal RNA", at positions 1943 to 2925 of the family's 2925-position model. The record is from RNAcentral.
UAACGGUCCUAAGGUAGCGAAAUUCCUUGUCGGGUAAGUUCCGACCUGCACGAAAGGCGCAACGAAUUGGGCGCUGUCUCGACCAUGGACCCGGUGAAAUUCCACUAGUCGUGAAGAUGCGACUUACCCGCGGAAGGACGGAAAGACCCCGUGAACCUUCACUGCAGCUUGGCAUUGGCCGCUGGCCCGUCGCGUAGAGGAUAGGCGGGAGGCUUCGAAGCCCGGGCGCCAGCCCGGGUGGAGCCGACCUUGGAAUACCGCCCUCGGCGCGCCGGCGUCCUAACCCCAUGCCGUCAUCCGGAUGGGGGACCGUGCCAGGUGGGUAGUUUGACUGGGGCGGUCGCCUCCUAAAGGGUAACGGAGGCGCGCGAAGGUCCGCUCGGGACGGUCGGCAACCGUCCUCUUGAGUGCAAGAGCAUAAGCGGGCUUGACUGCGAGGCCUACAAGCCGAGCAGGUGCGAAAGCAGGCUCUAGUGAUCCGGCGGCCCCGCGUGGGUGGGCCGUCGCUCAACGGAUAAAAGGUACUCCGGGGAUAACAGGCUGAUCUUGCCCAAGAGUCCACAUCGACGGCAAGGUUUGGCACCUCGAUGUCGGCUCAUCGCAUCCUGGGGCUGGAGCAGGUCCCAAGGGUACGGCUGUUCGCCGUUUAAAGCGGUACGCGAGCUGGGUUCAGAACGUCGUGAGACAGUUCGGUCCCUAUCCUCCGCGGGCGCAGGAGAAUCGAGGGAGGCUGCCCCUAGUACGAGAGGACCGGGGUGGACGCACCUCUGGUGAACCGGUUGUCGACCAACGGCACGGCCGGGUAGCCACGUGCGGCGCGGAUAACCGCUGAAGGCAUCUAAGCGGGAAGCCGUUCCCGAGAUCAGUUCUCCUUCCGGUAAGGGCCCAGGUAGACUACCUGGUCGAUAGGCCGCAGGUGCAAGCACGGCGACGUGCUCAGCCGAGCGGUACUAAUAGCCCGAGCUCUUACCCGC